AUUGAACGCUGGCGGCAGGCCUAACACAUGCAAGUCGAGCGGAUGAAGGGAGCUUGCUCCUGGAUUCAGCGGCGGACGGGUGAGUAAUGCCUAGGAAUCUGCCUGGUAGUGGGGGAUAACGUCCGGAAACGGGCGCUAAUACCGCAUACGUCCUGAGGGAGAAAGUGGGGGAUCUUCGGACCUCACGCUAUCAGAUGAGCCUAGGUCGGAUUAGCUAGUUGGUGGGGUAAAGGCCUACCAAGGCGACGAUCCGUAACUGGUCUGAGAGGAUGAUCAGUCACACUGGAACUGAGACACGGUCCAGACUCCUACGGGAGGCAGCAGUGGGGAAUAUUGGACAAGGGCGAAAGCCUGAUCCAGCCAUGCCGCGUGUGUGAAGAAGGUCUUCGGAUUGUAAAGCACUUUAAGUUGGGAGGAAGGGCAGUAAGUUAAUACCUUGCUGUUUUGACGUUACCAACAGAAUAAGCACCGGCUAACUUCGUG
This 483-nucleotide ribosomal RNA is filed under the name uncultured bacterium. RNAcentral's name for it is "partial 16S ribosomal RNA". It matches the Rfam family "Bacterial small subunit ribosomal RNA", at positions 30 to 507 of the family's 1533-position model. The record is from RNAcentral.